UGCCGCGUGAGUGAAGAAGGCCUUCGGGUUGUAAAGCUCUUUCGACGGGGACGAUGAUGACGGUACCCGUAUAAGAAGCCCCGGCUAACUUCGUGC
Molecule: ribosomal RNA, 96 nt
Filed under: uncultured bacterium
Lineage: Bacteria
Description: partial 16S ribosomal RNA
Rfam family: Bacterial small subunit ribosomal RNA
Source: RNAcentral